Molecule: transfer RNA, 87 nt
Filed under: Escherichia coli
Lineage: Bacteria; Pseudomonadati; Pseudomonadota; Gammaproteobacteria; Enterobacterales; Enterobacteriaceae
Description: tRNA-Leu
Rfam family: tRNA
About the family: Transfer RNA (tRNA) molecules are approximately 80 nucleotides in length. Their secondary structure includes four short double-helical elements and three loops (D, anti-codon, and T loops).
Source: RNAcentral
GCGAAGGUGGCGGAAUUGGUAGACGCGCUAGCUUCAGGUGUUAGUGUCCUUACGGACGUGGGGGUUCAAGUCCCCCCCCUCGCACCG